Molecule: ribosomal RNA, 1463 nt
Filed under: Pigmentiphaga sp.
Lineage: Bacteria; Pseudomonadati; Pseudomonadota; Betaproteobacteria; Burkholderiales; Alcaligenaceae
Description: bacterial SSU rRNA
Rfam family: Bacterial small subunit ribosomal RNA
Source: RNAcentral
GGCUCAGAUUGAACGCUAGCGGCAUGCCUUACACAUGCAAGUCGAACGGCAGCGCGGACUUCGGUCUGGCGGCGAGUGGCGAACGGGUGAGUAAUGCAUCGGAACGUGCCCAGUAGCGGGGGAUAACUACGCGAAAGCGUAGCUAAUACCGCAUACGCCCUACGGGGGAAAGGGGGGGAUCGCAAGACCUCUCACUAUUGGAGCGGCCGAUGUCGGAUUAGCUAGUUGGUGGGGUAAAGGCCUACCAAGGCGACGAUCCGUAGCUGGUUUGAGAGGACGACCAGCCACACUGGGACUGAGACACGGCCCAGACUCCUACGGGAGGCAGCAGUGGGGAAUUUUGGACAAUGGGGGCAACCCUGAUCCAGCCAUGCCGCGUGUGCGAAGAAGGCCUUCGGGUUGUAAAGCACUUUUGGCAGGAAAGAAACGGCGCCGGAUAAUACCUGGCGUAACUGACGGUACCUGCAGAAUAAGCACCGGCUAACUACGUGCCAGCAGCCGCGGUAAUACGUAGGGUGCAAGCGUUAAUCGGAAUUACUGGGCGUAAAGCGUGCGCAGGCGGUUCGGAAAGAAAGAUGUGAAAUCCCAGGGCUCAACCUUGGAACUGCAUUUUUAACUCCCGAACUAGAGUAUGUCAGAGGGGGGUGGAAUUCCACGUGUAGCAGUGAAAUGCGUAGAUAUGUGGAGGAACACCGAUGGCGAAGGCAGCCCCCUGGGAUAAUACUGACGCUCAUGCACGAAAGCGUGGGGAGCAAACAGGAUUAGAUACCCUGGUAGUCCACGCCCUAAACGAUGUCAACUAGCUGUUGGGUUCUUCGGAGCUUGGUAGCGCAGCUAACGCGUGAAGUUGACCGCCUGGGGAGUACGGUCGCAAGAUUAAAACUCAAAGGAAUUGACGGGGACCCGCACAAGCGGUGGAUGAUGUGGAUUAAUUCGAUGCAACGCGAAAAACCUUACCUACCCUUGACAUGUCUGGAAUCCUGAAGAGAUUUAGGAGUGCUCGAAAGAGAACCGGAACACAGGUGCUGCAUGGCCGUCGUCAGCUCGUGUCGUGAGAUGUUGGGUUAAGUCCCGCAACGAGCGCAACCCUUGUCAUUAGUUGCUACGAAAGGGCACUCUAAUGAGACUGCCGGUGACAAACCGGAGGAAGGUGGGGAGACGUCAGGUCCUCAUGGCCCUUAUGGGUAGGGCUUCACACGUCAUACAAUGGUCGGGACAGAGGGCAGCCAACCCGCGAGGGGGAGCCAAUCCCAGAAACCCGAUCGUAGUCCGGAUUGCAGUCUGCAACUCGACUGCAUGAAGUCGGAAUCGCUAGUAAUCGCGGAUCAGCAUGUCGCGGUGAAUACGUUCCCGGGUCUUGUACACACCGCCCGUCACACCAUGGGAGUGGGUUCUACCAGAAGUAGGUAGCCUAACCGUAAGGAGGGCGCUUACCACGGUAGGGUUCAUGACUGGGGUGAAGU